RNAcentral lists this ribosomal RNA (420 nucleotides) under uncultured eukaryote. RNAcentral's name for it is "partial 18S ribosomal RNA". It matches the Rfam family "Eukaryotic small subunit ribosomal RNA", at positions 1470 to 1796 of the family's 1831-position model. The record is from RNAcentral.
CCCUUAGUUAUCCUAGGUCGCACGCGCCAUACAAUGUGGCGCACAACGAGUCUCCUUGGCCGACAGGAUGUCCCGCGAGCGAUCGGCGACGCAGCCAGCUCGGUCUUCGGGCAGACUCGGUGAGAGUGGCCCGUCCUCCUGAGAGGGCGAUCGUCGAUGCCUCGGGAUUCUGGGCAAUCUGGCAGAGCGCUACGUGACUGGGCUAGACUUUUGUAAUUUUUGGUCUUGAACGAGGAAUGCCUAGUAAUCGCAGGUCAGCAUCCUGCGAUGAUUCGGUCCCUGCCCUUUGUACCCACCGCCCGUCGCUCCAUCCGUGGCAUGCGCCGGUGAAGAGGGGGAGGCAGCGUCGGCCGUGUAACAGCGGAUCGUACGUGGAACCCCUCUGAACCUUCGCACGUAGAGGAAGGAGAAGUCGUAACA